RNAcentral lists this ribosomal RNA (607 nucleotides) under uncultured Alphaproteobacteria bacterium. RNAcentral describes it as "bacterial SSU rRNA". It matches the Rfam family "Bacterial small subunit ribosomal RNA", at positions 8 to 663 of the family's 1533-position model. The record is from RNAcentral. Lineage: Bacteria; Pseudomonadati; Pseudomonadota; Alphaproteobacteria.
AGAGUUUGAUCCUGGCUCAGAACGAACGCUGGCGGCAGGCUUAACACAUGCAAGUCGAGCGCCCAGCAAUGGGAGCGGCGGACGGGUGAGUAACACGUGGGAAUAUGCCCUUCGGUACGGAACAACUCAGGGAAACUUGAGCUAAUACCGUAUACGCCCUUACGGGGAAAGAUUUAUCGCCGAAGGAUUAGCCCGCGUCUGAUUAGCUUGUUGGUGAGGUAACGGCUCACCAAGGCUUCGAUCAGUAGCUGGUCUGAGAGGACGACCAGCCACACUGGGACUGAGACACGGCCCAGACUCCUACGGGAGGCAGCAGUGGGGAAUCUUGGACAAUGGGGGAAACCCUGAUCCAGCCAUGCCGCGUGAGUGAUGAAGGCCUUAGGGUUGUAAAGCUCUUUUGGCGGGGACGAUAAUGACUGUACCCGCAGAAUAAGCCCCGGCUAACUUCGUGCCAGCAGCCGCGGUAAUACGAAGGGGGCUAGCGUUGUUCGGAAUUACUGGGCGUAAAGCGUGCGCAGGCGGCUAUUCAAGUCAGGGGUGAAAGCCCAGAGCUCAACUCUGGAAUUGCCUUUGAAACUGUAUGGCUUGAGUGCGGGAGAGGUGAGUG